AAUUCUGAUCCACUUUCCAAGGAAACAAACCGAAUUUCAGAAGCGCGACUUCCACUACCUGUGCCAAUGGAGCUCCAGUCACCCAAUCGUGCUAACCUGCGCCUCUCUCCAUUCGUUUCUGUACUCCAACAAGCUUUCUAAAUUCCAUUUCACUCCCAUAACCAUGGAGCUUCACGUUCUUGAUUCGGUUAAACUGAGCUGGUCGUCCUCUUUCUUGACAUCCACCACUCGUUCGUUAAAAGUCCUCACUGAAACAGCAAACCCAUCAAGACCACCAUCAUUGUUAGUUCAAGCAGCCAAGAAAAGCUCUGAUAAUUCCUCUCAAGGGCUUCAGAGGGAAACCAAGAAAGAACUCUCGCGGAUUCUGAGAACGGAGGCGGCCAUUAAAGCCAUUGAGAGAAAAGCAAACUCCACGAAAUACAAUCGUCUGUGGCCUAAAGCGGUUUUGGAGGCUUUGGACGAUGCAAUACGAAAGAAUCAGUGGGAAUCAGCUCUCAAGAUUUUCGAUCUUCUUCGUAAGCAACAUUGGUAUGAGCCGAAAUGUCAAACAUACACGAAGCUGUUGGUGAUGCUUGGUAAAUGUAGGCAGCCCAAGCAGGCAAGCUUGCUUUUUGAGAUCAUGAUGUCUGAUGGGCUUCGACCCACAAUUGAUGCUUACACUGCACUUAUGAGUGCAUAUGGACUCAGUGGCCUCCUUGAUAAGGCGUUUCAGACUGUUGAUGAGAUGAAGUCAGUCUGUGAUUGCAAACCAGAUGUAUAUACUUACUCGAUCCUUAUCAACUGUUGCACUAAACUUCAACGCUUUGAUCUGAUCGAACACAUACUCACUGAGAUGUCAUACCUGGGAAUUGAAUGUGGCACUGUCACAUACAAUACCAUAAUUGAUGGAUACGGUAAGGCUAAACUGUUUGAACUGAUGGAGAGCUCAUUGAUGGACAUGAUUGAAAGUGGUACGUGCCUUCCAGAUGUUUUCACAUUUAAUUCAGUUAUUGGGGCUUAUGGGGAUUAUGGCCAGAUAGAGAAAAUGGAAAAAUGGUUUGAAGAAUUUCAACUAAUGGGGAUUAAGCCAGAUGUUAAAACAUUUAAUAUCCUGAUUAAAUCAUAUGGUAAAGCUGGCAUGUAUGAGAAAAUGGGGUCUGUUAUGGAAUUUAUGAGGAAAAGGUUCUUCUCCCCAACGAUUGUUACUUUUAAUAUAGUUAUAGAAACCUUUGGGAAAGCUGGAAAUAUUGAAAAGAUGGAAGAAUUCUUCUUGAAAAUGAAGCAUCAAGGAAUGAAGCCCAAUUCAAUAACUUAUUGCUCUCUUGUAAGCGCUUACAGUAAAGCUGGGCUUUUGAAUAAGGUUGAUUCAAUUAUGAGGCAAGCAGAUAAUUCUGAUGUAGUUCUGGAUACACCAUUUUUCAACUGUAUCAUCAGUGCCUAUGGUCAGGCUGGUGAUGUGGAAAAAAUGGGGCAGUUAUUCUGGGAAAUGAAGGAAAGAAACUGCAAGGCAGACAAUAUCACCUUUGCUACCAUGAUCCAAGCCUACAAUGCCCAUGGCAUGACUGAUGCUGCUCAAGAGUUGAAGAGUAAGAUGAUUACUGCCAAGGAGAAUUCAGGAACAAAGUUGAUUGGAUGCUAAUGUAACUCACUGAAGUAGAAGAGCAGUUUCAGAAAAGGAGAAUUUUAAUCUGACACAUCAGUACUAGGAAAGAAACAUCUUGUCUCUGUGAACAGCAGUUUUUGGUAUCAGAGCCUAAGUAGACAUUAUGUUUACUCGAUCUAGCGAUGAAACAUUGGAUGAUAAUCAGAAGAUUGAGUUGUUGUCACAUAUUCUGAAACAAUUUAAAGGGCUGAAUGCUCGAUGCGAUAAGAUAGGAGCUCGAAUUUCGCAGCCUUUUAACAAAUCGGCAGCCCUUGAACAAGGAUCUGCAUUUGGUACUAAUGAUGGCAGAAACCGCGAGCAACAACAGCCUUUACACUCUCUGCAAAGGCGUAAUUUGAAGGCUGAUCCACCACUCUAUCUCAUGUUGGAGUUUCCAAGAAAUUCAUUAGAGGUGAAUCAUCAUGAGCCACAUGAUGUUGCUGUAGAUAUUACAAAGAAGCUAAGUGAUGGAAUUUGUCGCACACAAACAACAACAAUGCUGCCAAAUGAUGGAUCAAAACCAUCUUUCUCUAGCAUGGCUGAUCCUGAAGGAAAGAGUACUAUGGCUAGCAAGGUUAAUGAGAACCUGCUUGACCAUGAAACCUACAGCACUGAUGGUCCGGAAGAGGAUGAAGAGAAUGUUCCAUCCAUCUCUAUUGGGAGGCACAUCCUCGCAGCCCGUAAUGUUGAAGACGAAGAUGGGCGGCUCACCUCUAAUUUUGACAUGCAAGUUCAUUGUGGAAACCAAGCUCAGAAGCCUAUUAUUGAUGGCGGUGGCAGCCCUAAUGUUGUCUCCACAUCCAUGGUUAAACGUCUCAAACUUUCCACAGCCCGAAUCCUUGAAGACCCUGAAGUUGAAAACGAAGAUGGGUGGCUUACCUCUAAUUUUCAGAUGCAAUUUCAUUGUGGAAACCAAGCUCGGAAGCCUAUUAUUGAUGGCGGUGGCAACCUAAAUGUUGAGCAUCUCAAACUGUCCAUCCGACCAUAUCCACAACCAUUCAAAGUGGCUUGAAUUGAUAAUAGUACUUAUAUUCUGGGGAUUUAUUCAGAUGAGGAGAGGAAGUUUAACACGGUUAUAAUUCUUGGUCUGUCUUAUACACCAGGACUUGCUAUACCGUACGGAAUACAACAUGCAUAUGGCAAGACUAAUUGAUGUUGGUAGGAAAAAGUCUGCUACUGAGUUUGCAAUUUCCCUUAUUCAGAUGUUGGUGAUCAAUGAUUCUAGUGUCAUUUUUGGAACUUCAUAUUCUUGUUGAUGCACAGGCAAAGCUUGCAGCUAGGCCUAGUUCUCCGAAGUCAUUGCAACAGUUGAUUGAGGUUGCAAGGAAUCCUUCUGCCAGCAUUAGUGCAUUGGCGGUUUACCUGUCAGGAAGGAGAAUAACACCAGAACACCCAGAGACAAAAGCACUGCUGGCCAUUCUGCAGCUGGUAGGGAAGACUAUAAUGUCCCAAAGCCAGUGGAACCAGAUUUUGCUGGUUUUCGUGAGCAGGUUUCCGUGCUAUUUGCAGAGUGGCGCUGGAUAUGUCAACUUCCUCAUGCAAAUGACACAGCUUGUGCCCAUUAUGUCUUGCAAUUGCAGCACAGUGGACUUCUAAAAGGGGAUGAUACAUCAGACCGUUUCCGUUGCCACCUCAUGGAACUUUCCAUAUCACAUUACCUAUCUUCUGAGGUGAUUCGUUUUGAUCCUUUGCAAUCAUCUAAACAAGUACAACCAUUGUCUUUCCAUGCUACCGAUAUAGAUGCAAAACUUGUCUUUGCAAUCCUCAAGUUCUGCUCUGUUGACCAUGGAUCUAUUCAACUCUCUCUUCUGCCUAAGGUUUUGGCAGCAACCGUAACAUUUAUUUAGAAAGAUGCAGAGGAGAAGACAACAUCUUUUGAUCCAAGGCCAUUAUUUGGGUUGUUCCUGAACUUGCUGCUGGACCUGCGUUCCCUUAGACCUGUCUUUGAUGGUGGUAACUUUCUGACUGCUUUUGCAAAUGCAUUCCAUGCUUUGCAUCCCCUUAAAGUUCCUGCAUUUAGCUUUGCGUGGCUUAAGUUGCUGAGUCACAUUAGUUUCGUGCCAGAAUUGCUGACAAGAAACUCCGAGAAGGGGUGGCCUUAUUUUCAACGCUUGCUCGUAGAUUUAUUCCAAUUUCUGGAACCAUUCCUGAGAAGUGCUGAACUUGGAGAGCCAGUUCAUUUUCUUAUGCACUGUCCUAUGGCGUACGAUUGUUGGAAUCUCAUCUUCAGCAUUUUUGGCGUUCAGUGGGUAAUGCCUCAAUCCUCCAUACAACUGAUUAACGCUUGGAGAAAAUGCCCAGUCAAAGGUCAUGUUCGUGACUAUUGGAGGAUUGUUCCACACUGUGUUUGGUGGUGUAUAUGGAGAGAGAGAAAUAGCAGAAAUUUUGAAGGAAAUGAAUCGUCUUUGGCAAAUUUAAAAAUCCAUUUUCUCCGUUCUCUUUUCUGUUAUGUAAGAGGAAGCGCUUGCUCCUCGACUGAUGGCUUAAUUGAUCUAUUGGACUCUAUUGGUCCUUAGGUUCAAUUUUCGUUUUGUGUAUUAGGGACGCGUUCCACUUUUGAACGCUUUUCUAAUAAACUUUUACUUAUCAAAAAAAAAAAAAAAAAAAAAAAAAAAAAAAGGAAGAA
Molecule: RNA transcript, 4247 nt
Organism: Cornus florida
Lineage: Eukaryota; Viridiplantae; Streptophyta; Magnoliopsida; Cornales; Cornaceae
Gene name: pentatricopeptide repeat-containing protein At3g53170
Exons: 4
Source: RefSeq, a predicted model, not a curated record